GAAAUGCGAUAAGUAGUGUGAAUUGCAGAAUUCAGUGAAUCAUUGAAUCUUUGAACGCACAUUGCGCCCCUCGGUAUUCCGUGGGGCAUGCCUGUUCGAGCGUCAUCUACACCCUCAAGCUCUGCUUGGUGUUGGGCGUCUGUCCCGCCUCCUUCGCGCGCGGACUCGCCCCAAAUCCAUUGGCGGCGGCCCUUGCCUCCCUCUCGCGCAGCACAUUGCGCUUCUCGAGGCGCGGCGGACCGCGUCCAGCAAGCAACCGUCACACCGUCUUUGACCUCGGAUCAGGUAGGGAUACCCGCUGAACUUAAGC
Molecule: unclassified non-coding RNA, 310 nt
Filed under: plant metagenome
Description: partial contains 5.8S ribosomal RNA, internal transcribed spacer 2, and large subunit ribosomal RNA
Rfam family: 5.8S ribosomal RNA (bases 1-105)
Source: RNAcentral